CCUAAUAUCUAUCUGAGGUGCAACUUUGGUGAGAAUCUGUGAAGUAGUUUUGACGUAAUCAUUGAAAGCCUAUGUAAAGGGAAAUCUUGAUCCAGAAUCUGGAUCCAGAUCACCUCCAAAAUGUUAUGGUUUCUUCUAUGGCCUAGUAUCUAUAUGUGGUGAAAAUAUCAUCAAAAUCCGUGCAGUAGUUUUGACGUCAUCCUGCUAACACAGACAGAGAGAGACGUAAUAAAAUUUCACAUCCAUUUUUUAAUUCACUUGCAUUUUCAUCACCUCCACUGUUUUCUGUCUUGUAUUUCUCAUGUUUGUCCUCACACUCAGCAGCUGGUGUUCUUCCUGGCAGGAUUAAUUGAGUAGUUUUUAUAUGUUGGUUGACCUUUUAGUUCAGUCACAUUUAACAAAUAGAGGUGUUAAUUAAAAAUGGUCUCAGGGCUCUGAUGAGAGUUGUGUGUGUUGUGCGUGUGUGUGUGUAGUGUGCGUGU
Molecule: long non-coding RNA, 482 nt
Organism: Thalassophryne amazonica
Lineage: Eukaryota; Metazoa; Chordata; Actinopteri; Batrachoidiformes; Batrachoididae
Exons: 3
Source: RefSeq, a predicted model, not a curated record